RNAcentral lists this long non-coding RNA (1339 nucleotides) under Cyanistes caeruleus (blue tit). Its description in RNAcentral is "lncRNA (ENSCCEG00000014072.1)". The record is from RNAcentral. Lineage: Eukaryota; Metazoa; Chordata; Aves; Passeriformes; Paridae.
CCUUGGUUUUCAUCUGGGGGAAAGAAACAGAGGAGAGAGCCUGGAGGAGGCCCUCAGGCUGGCUGAGGUCACCCAUGGGAUCCUGAGCCAUGGCUCUGUCAUGCCACCCAGAGUAUCAUCACAGCAUCCCUGAUGCAUCCAAAACACAGAGAAAUGGCCAAGUCCAGCUGGAGGUUGAUUCCUGCUAUUGAGAUUUUUAUUUAUUAAUUUGUAGCUCACUUGCUUUCUUUUGGCACCAUUUUUCUCUGCAAGUGAAAAAUUUCCCCUGAAUCACUACGUGUUAUUUCCACUUGUCAAGAUAAAGGUUAGUGAAAUACCAGUAACUGCAUCACAAAUCCAGCUCCAUAUCUAUCCAGGAUUUUAUAUGGCAAGUUAUACUGCACAGCCUGUUCCUAGAAAAGGCUGUGAUUAAAAAAACUAAAACUGUCAGAGGUCAAGAAAUUCAUAGUUAGAGCAGCAUAGCCUCUGCCCUUCUCUCCUCACAUCUUGCCUGCAGGACAAGGAAUAAAAAACCUCCUGGAACUGGCACAAACAAGUGUGGGACGAGAUUUCCUCCAGCACACAAGAUUCUGCAGGACUGUGGUAUUUAAAGAGCAUUUUAGUUUGCAAAUGUUUCCUGCAUCUGGAAAAUGGUUAUUUGUAUAUUUAUACACUACAUAAAUAAUAUAUAAAAUACACAAAUACCAUAGAAUCAUAGAGUAUCUUGAGUUGGAAAAGACCAUCAAGUCCUAUAAAUAGAUACAGAAUUUAGAAGCAACAUGAUGCUAUAAUUGACAUAUAUCUUUCUUCAAAUAGAUUUGCACCAGAGGCACAAGGAGAAUUUGACACACUUGCUGCAAAGAGGUUUUCAUGCCCUGAACGUGAAACCACCAGGACUGGCUGAAGGACACUCUGUGCCCAGGGACUGGGGAGCUGAGACCUGAAAUGGAAUUUCACUAGAGAUCCUACCAACAUUAAAUACUCUGUGAAGCCUCAGGAGCUCCUGAGAUGAUGGAUGACAUCAAGAGCCAAAAGAACAUGUACAAAGCAUCUGCAGAAAGAGAUCCUUAAUGACUGUGUGAAGUCUGUUGAUUUGUUGCCAGCACAUGCUCUCACUCUCCACGGCAGUGUUUGCAACAAUGGGAUCCUCACUUUGGAAAUUUCAGCUGCUUAUAGGAAGUUUAGGUGUUCAAAAUGGCCACUGCAACGGGCUUGUAUAACAUCUAAGGCACAGAAAUCCACCAUAAUUUUGAAGAAUAAAGUGGGAAUUCAUUUUUCAUUAUUGGAAGAAAUACUCUGUUUUCUGCUAUUACAAGGAAUGAUCAAAGACUCGGAGCCCUUUGGAAAGAGUUUCCAAUAG